Long non-coding RNA from Lolium rigidum, 388 nucleotides. RefSeq lists it as uncharacterized. The record is from RefSeq and is a predicted model, not a curated record. The transcript has 3 exons. NCBI's taxonomy places the organism in Eukaryota, Viridiplantae, Streptophyta, Magnoliopsida, Poales, Poaceae.
CUUAAGAAGUUGACAUCCCUGCGUUGUGCCGAAAUCGCCUUCACCGUCUUUCUUGUUCACCGCAAUUUCGCCAAGUUUCUUUCGGGUCUUGUUCAAGUUACAGAGCUUUCAGUCGCCACGGGCUAUAUACCAUCAAGUGCUAAGAUGCAAGAGAUUCUAUGCACCUUUCACAACUUGAAGAGCUUGAAGUUAAAGGUGCAUUUCUAUAAACAACACCCUAUCAUGUUAACCUUAUACUUAUUAAAGAGUGCCCCAAAUCUUGAAGAACUCAAACUAAAGAUCUAUGAUGAGGAGGAGCUUGAAUUUGAAGCAAAUGGAGAGUUUCUGAAUGCAUUAUGGGCUGAUGGCAUGUGUGCCAACCUUCAGGUUGUGCAGAUGAGCGGUAUUC